Molecule: ribosomal RNA, 446 nt
Filed under: Hypselostoma cucumensis
Lineage: Eukaryota; Metazoa; Mollusca; Gastropoda; Stylommatophora; Vertiginidae
Description: partial 16S ribosomal RNA
Source: RNAcentral
AGCUUUAAGAUUUUCUUUUAUUUAAAGUAAAACCUGCCCGGUGAUAUUUUUAACGGCCGCAGUACUUUGGCUGUGCUAAGGUAGCAUAAUAAAUUGGCUUUUAAUUGAAGUCUAGGAUGAAUGGAAAAUUGAGGGAGAACUGUCUUUUAAAAAAUAUUUAAAAUUUACUUAUUAGGUGAAAAUACCUAUAAUAUUAAAUUAGACGAGAAGACCCUAAGAAUUACAGUGAAUAAUUAGAUUUUUUUUAUUUAAACUUUUGUUGGGGCAACAUUGUUUGGUAAAAUCAACAAUAUAUAAGAAGUAAUACAUCAAUCAUUAUACGGAAAUUUUUAAUUACCUUAGGGAUAACAGCAUAAUUAGUUUUUUAGAUUGUGACCUCGAUGUUGGAUUAAGGCCUUUAAUUAUCAGCAAUAAUUGAAGAUUGUUCUGUUCGAACAUAAAACCUU